CUAGCAACAAUCUCACGCUCGGAAAGCAUUGAUCUCCUCGAGUAUCUAUUCUGCACGCUGAAGACGGCACGGCGUAGGAGUUGGGGGCGUCAAUGGCAUGCAGGACAGCAGCAGCAAGAGUCCAGGCGCCAGGUGCACAGAAACGCAUGGCGAAAGGAGUCACAUCUGCUAGCUACCAAACAUUCCGAUUUCCGACCGAUGGAACUGAACCUUGGGAGAAACGAACCCCCAGUCAGUCAGUCAGUCGGUCGUCAGAAGGCCUGCCCUGCCACUCAUCAGGUAGCGAGGAAUGUCUGUCUGCAACUCUGCACAGUGAGCAACCACACCACAUGUGGGUUUAUGAUGAGCAGAAGGGAAGGGAUGCCUCCACAUGGAGUUCAGAGCACGGAGGCUUAAACAACACUCACUACUACGUACUACCACACUAGGAUGCUGCCGGUGCCCAGCAGCAGUGCAGAGUACAAACCUUGGCUGGCUGCUGGCCCCGUCCUCCCCGUCGAGACGAUGACCGGUCAGUAGAAGUUUAUGUCCAUGUAACUGCGUGGAUAAGUCUGGUACGGUGGCAGCUCGUCCAGCCCCAGGAGAGACGCGGAACGAGUGAUGCCGCCGAAGUGAGCAGCUGACUGGCUCGGAAUCUCAACCUCCGCCGUGAAUAUGCUGUACACAGGCCUGUGAUCCGAGAACCGAGACUCGCCGCGCACGUAGCAUAGCUGGGACAGGCCUCGCCCGUACCAUAGAAUCCGGUCACAC
Molecule: unclassified non-coding RNA, 750 nt
Filed under: Zea mays
Lineage: Eukaryota; Viridiplantae; Streptophyta; Magnoliopsida; Poales; Poaceae
Description: misc RNA Zm00001eb052480
Source: RNAcentral